RNAcentral lists this ribosomal RNA (465 nucleotides) under Vreelandella stevensii. RNAcentral describes it as "partial 16S ribosomal RNA". It matches the Rfam family "Bacterial small subunit ribosomal RNA", at positions 338 to 795 of the family's 1533-position model. The record is from RNAcentral. Lineage: Bacteria; Pseudomonadati; Pseudomonadota; Gammaproteobacteria; Oceanospirillales; Halomonadaceae.
CCUACGGGUGGCUGCAGUGGGGAAUAUUGGACAAUGGGGGAAACCCUGAUCCGGCCAUGCCGCGUGUGUGAAGAAGGCCCUCGGGUUGUAAAGCACUUUCAGUGAGGAAGAACGCCUGGUGGUUAAUACCCAUCAGGAAAGACAUCACUCACAGAAGAAGCACCGGCUAACUCCGUGCCAGCAGCCGCGGUAAUACGGAGGGUGCGAGCGUUAAUCGGAAUUACUGGGCGUAAAGCGCGCGUAGGUGGCUUGAUAAGCCGGUUGUGAAAGCCCCGGGCUCAACCUGGGAACGGCAUCCGGAACUGUCAAGCUAGAGUGCAGGAGAGGAAGGUAGAAUUCCCGGUGUAGCGGUGAAAUGCGUAGAGAUCGGGAGGAAUACCAGUGGCGAAGGCGGCCUUCUGGACUGACACUGACACUGAGGUGCGAAAGCGUGGGUAGCAAACAGGAUUAGAUACCCUAGUAGUC